Molecule: ribosomal RNA, 1043 nt
Filed under: Triticum aestivum (bread wheat)
Lineage: Eukaryota; Viridiplantae; Streptophyta; Magnoliopsida; Poales; Poaceae
Description: partial small subunit ribosomal RNA
Source: RNAcentral
UUUUAAAAGACCUGUUUCAGAUUCUCAAAAACCUAUUUCAAUCAUUUUCAGAAACUGAUUUUAGCUAUUUCAAAAGACCGGUUUCAGUUUCUCAAAAACCUAUUUCAGUUUUCCAAUUGACCAAUUUCAAUUAUUUCAGAAAAUAUGGUUCACACAUAUGAAUUCCUUGGGAUUUCACAUAUGAAUUUGACAAAAUAUAUUUCAUAUUUCAACAAUAUCACUUUCAGUUUACAUAUCCAUAAAUCUAAUAUGGACUAAUAUCACUUUCUUUCGCAAAUCUGAACAAAAUAACUCUUGCAUGUGUCACAAAAUCAGAUAGGUGCCAUAUUUCGCAUAUAUGAACCAUAAAUCUCUUCCAUAUAUCACAAAACCAGAUUUCUCUUUCACUUGAAUGGAUUUCAGAAGGAAAAAAAUCAGUUCUAUAUGAACCAUAAAUCUCUUCCAUAGUUCACAAAACAAGAUUUCACCUUCACAAAUCUAACACUGAACAUACAUCACAAGCUGAGAAAAAUUCAGAAAAAAAGAAAACAUUGGUAGGAGCGAUUUCUUUCAAUGGUCCCAAAUAUUCAGAGGAUAAUCGCCAUUUAUCUAGGUAAGAACCAAUAUCAUGCAAAAUAUAAAAAUCAUGAAGAACAGGAGAAAAGGAACGAGAAAAUUGGCUUCUUAGCUCACCAGAAGAGUUGGGGAAGGAGGGUACGGAUCCGACGGCGACAAACUACCGGAGCACGACUGCCGGGGGGUACCCGUCUACGCACCAUCUCGGUGGCAUCACGGCGGCCGGAGCAGCCAGAUCUGGACGUUGCUGCGUAGGGGAGGCCAGAUCUGGUCUUCUAUGGCGACAGGCUGCCGGAGCACGGAGCGGCGGUGGCGGCGGGCUGCAGGAGCACGGAGCUGCGGUGGCGGCGGCCUGCCGGAGGAGCAACCGAGAGAGAGAGGAAGGGGGGAGGGAGAGAGAGAGAGAGUCAGCCUCACGGGUCGUCGUUAGGGUGUCAGGGUAUAUAAAGUCGGUCGUGGGCGUGGGUGGGUACCGAUGUAUUUUGCUA